UUGGCGACCAGUGCGGGUUCCAUGUCUGCCAUAACAUGAGGAGCUUCGCAGACAAGGAAAAAAUUUCAACGAUUCCGGAAAUCAACUUCGAUAUCAUUAGAGAGGAGAUAGCACAAUUCAUACUAGAUGAUCUCUUGUCACCGAAAGGGAUGUUUAGAGUGAAGUUCUAGGUAGCUCGUCUCGGAAUGGCAGAACAUUUGCAAUGCAUAUGCGACAAACAUUUGAUUUUUGUAAAUAUUCUUUGUAAUACAAUUAAAUUCUUUAGAGUAAA
Oryza sativa Japonica Group (Japanese rice) is the source of this 271-nucleotide long non-coding RNA. RefSeq lists it as uncharacterized. The record is from RefSeq and is a predicted model, not a curated record. NCBI's taxonomy places the organism in Eukaryota, Viridiplantae, Streptophyta, Magnoliopsida, Poales, Poaceae.